UACUACUGCAGCAGCAUUGAUGGGAAAGAUGGCACAAACAGAGGCAGGCAGCUAAAGUUGAGACAGAAAGAAAUGACAGAGAUUGUACUCGUAUUGUCUCGUGACCUUACAGUGCAGCAAGGCACAAGAGUCUAACAACAACAGCACCAACAUGUACCGUGCAGAUGCGAUAUGUCCCUUGCCGACAACCACAAGGCCGUGGCCUCCCUAUGGCAAUGGCGAAACAUGAAGAAGCCGAUCGAAACAUGGAAGAAACUAAGAACAAAUCUACUUGACAGGUACAGUACAUCACUGGUAUAUGUUUAUAUCCUACUGUAUAGGUACAUGGAGGACCUGAUCAGCCAAGCCUCUUCCAUUGCACACCUUCUGAAAUCAAAUCCAGGCAGUUCAACCGUGCCUGGUGAUCAUUGGGAAGAUGGUCUUGGAGCUGCAUCAUCAGAUAAAUUAAGAGGAGACGUUAGUAACUUGGUACUUAUCAGAUGCUGAUGG
This 489-nucleotide long non-coding RNA is filed under the name Triticum aestivum (bread wheat). RNAcentral describes it as "long non-coding RNA (TAES_LNC015027)". The record is from RNAcentral. Lineage: Eukaryota; Viridiplantae; Streptophyta; Magnoliopsida; Poales; Poaceae.